AGGCAGUGGUGCAAGCCACAUAAAUGAUAGACCAUUAUAUAUACGUGGAGAAUUUUUGGUUCGCCAAGCUAAUGCUAAUUGCUUACUUGUGGAACUUCCCAGUAGAAGUGAUGACGAGAAAGUCUGCUUAUUAUGGACAACUGCUGAAAAUAUGGAGAAAAAUCAAGACAAUUGUCUUCUAGAUUCAUCAUGCAAAGAAAAUAUGCUAGAGCUUACGGAACACUUUAAUAAUUGCAAACAAUAUGAUGCUUCGGAAAAACGUAAAAAUGAAUUGGUAAAAAAGGAAUUGUUAAAUGAGGACAUUUCCGCUUCUAAAGCAUAGAACAUGGUUAUAGUUCACUGACUCGCACCAACAGAUGGAAUUUCUUGUGUUGCCAAACUGUUGAAAUAAACUGCUGAAUGAUAUCACUUGUAA
Molecule: long non-coding RNA, 415 nt
Organism: Dermacentor silvarum
Lineage: Eukaryota; Metazoa; Arthropoda; Arachnida; Ixodida; Ixodidae
Exons: 2
Source: RefSeq, a predicted model, not a curated record